RNAcentral lists this ribosomal RNA (379 nucleotides) under uncultured bacterium. Its description in RNAcentral is "bacterial SSU rRNA". It matches the Rfam family "Bacterial small subunit ribosomal RNA", at positions 30 to 417 of the family's 1533-position model. The record is from RNAcentral.
CCUGAACGCUGGCGGCGUGGCUAAGACAUGCAAGUCGCACGGUGUAGCAAUACACAGUGGCGAACGGGAGAGUAAUGAAUCGGUAACGUACCCCGGACUCUGGGAUAGCUAUCCGAAAGGGUAGGUAAUACCAGUAUAAUAUAACCUGCAGGCAUCUGCGGGUUCUCAAAGGUCCGCCGGUCUGGGAGCGGCCGAUUUCGUAUCAGCUAGUUGGUGAGGUAACGGCUCACCAAGGCGACGACGCGUAGCCGGACUGAGAGGUUGGCCGGCCUCAUUGGGACUGAGACACUGCCCAGACUCCGUACGGGGGCUGCAGUAACGAAUCUUCCGCAAUGCACGAAAGUGUGACGGAGCGACGCCGCGUGUGGGACGAAGUCCU